RNAcentral lists this ribosomal RNA (789 nucleotides) under uncultured bacterium. RNAcentral's name for it is "bacterial SSU rRNA". It matches the Rfam family "Bacterial small subunit ribosomal RNA", at positions 8 to 794 of the family's 1533-position model. The record is from RNAcentral.
AGAGUUUGAUCCUGGCUCAGAUUGAACGCUGGCGGCAUGCCUUACACAUGCAAGUCGAACGGCAGCGGGCCUUCGGGUGCCGGCGAGUGGCGAACGGGUGAGUAAUGCAUCGGAACGUGCCAUUGAGUGGGGGAUAACGUAGCGAAAGUUGCGCUAAUACCGCAUAUUCUGUGAGCAGGAAAGCAGGGGACCGCAAGGCCUUGCGCUCUUUGAGCGGCCGAUGUCAGAUUAGCUAGUUGGUGAGGUAAGGGCUUACCAAGGCGACGAUCUGUAGCGGGUCUGAGAGGACGACCAGCCACACUGGGACUGAGACACGGCCCAGACUCCUACGGGAGGCAGCAGUGGGGAAUUUUGGACAAUGGGCGCAAGCCUGAUCCAGCAAUGCCGCGUGCAGGAAGAAGGCCUUCGGGUUGUAAACUGCUUUUGUCAGGGAAGAAAUCCUCUGGGUUAAUACCUCGGGGGGAUGACGGUACCUGAAGAAUAAGCACCGGCUAACUACGUGCCAGCAGCCGCGGUAAUACGUAGGGUGCGAGCGUUAAUCGGAAUUACUGGGCGUAAAGCGUGCGCAGGCGGUUGUGCAAGACAGGUGUGAAAUCCCCGGGCUUAACCUGGGAACUGCACUUGUGACUGCACAGCUAGAGUACGGUAGAGGGGGAUGGAAUUCCGCGUGUAGCAGUGAAAUGCGUAGAUAUGCGGAGGAACACCGAUGGCGAAGGCAAUCCCCUGGACCUGUACUGACGCUCAUGCACGAAAGCGUGGGGAGCAAACAGGAUUAGAUACCCCGGUAGU